UACACUCCUGCGGGAGGCAGCAGUGGGGAAUAUUGCACAAUGGGCGCAAGCCUGAUGCAGCCAUGCCGCGUGUAUGAAGAAGGCCUUCGGGUUGUAAAGUACUUUCAGCGGGGAGGAAGGCAAUACGGUUAAUAACCGUGUUGAUUGACGUUACCCGCAGAAGAAGCACCGGCUAACUCCGUGCCAGCAGCCGCGGUAAUACGGAGGGUGCAAGCGUUAAUCGGAAUUACUGGGCGUAAAGCGCACGCAGGCGGUCUGUCAAGUCGGAUGUGAAAUCCCCGGGCUCAACCUGGGAACUGCAUUCGAAACUGGCAGGCUUGAGUCUUGUAGAGGGGGGUAGAAUUCCAGGUGUAGCGGUGAAAUGCGUAGAGAUCUGGAGGAAUACCGGUGGCGAAGGCGGCCCCCUGGACAAAGACUGACGCUCAGGUGCGAAAGCGUGGGGAGCAAACAGGAUUAGAUACCCCAGUAGUCCCAUGA
RNAcentral lists this ribosomal RNA (477 nucleotides) under uncultured organism. RNAcentral describes it as "partial 16S ribosomal RNA". It matches the Rfam family "Bacterial small subunit ribosomal RNA", at positions 332 to 800 of the family's 1533-position model. The record is from RNAcentral.